RNAcentral lists this small RNA (326 nucleotides) under Pan troglodytes (chimpanzee). RNAcentral's name for it is "retained intron". The record is from RNAcentral. Lineage: Eukaryota; Metazoa; Chordata; Mammalia; Primates; Hominidae.
CUUGGAGACACCUGCACCCCUUCAGGUGAAAUGCAAGGGGUUUACCCGCCUCAAAUAACCCAGUGCUUGCGGUACCAGAGGCUCCCACGAGGUGGCGAUGACGCUCCGGGAUUUCUUCAUUGCAGUCUCACAGCAUAAUAAAGGCUGCCUGUGCCGGGGUCUUGGGGACUCCCGUCCCAGAACAGUUGAGGUCGUUGAUUCCCCUCGUUGGCUUCCUUUCUUCACUUUCCUGGCAUUUGCAAACCUUGUGACUUCAGGAUGUCAGGACUUAAUUUGGAUGGGGGGGUGCGGGUGAGUCCGGGAAGAGCACCAUCGUCAAGCAGAUG